This 993-nucleotide ribosomal RNA is filed under the name human gut metagenome. RNAcentral describes it as "bacterial SSU rRNA". It matches the Rfam family "Bacterial small subunit ribosomal RNA", at positions 371 to 1366 of the family's 1533-position model. The record is from RNAcentral.
AUGGACGCAAGUCUGAACCAGCCAUGCCGCGUGCAGGAUGACGGCUCUAUGAGUUGUAAACUGCUUUUGUACGAGGGUAAACGCAGAUACGUGUAUCUGUCUGAAAGUAUCGUACGAAUAAGGAUCGGCUAACUCCGUGCCAGCAGCCGCGGUAAUACGGAGGAUUCAAGCGUUAUCCGGAUUUAUUGGGUUUAAAGGGUGCGUAGGCGGUUUGAUAAGUUAGAGGUGAAAUUUCGGGGCUCAACCCUGAACGUGCCUCUAAUACUGUUGAGCUAGAGAGUAGUUGCGGUAGGCGGAAUGUAUGGUGUAGCGGUGAAAUGCUUAGAGAUCAUACAGAACACCGAUUGCGAAGGCAGCUUACCAAACUAUAUCUGACGUUGAGGCACGAAAGCGUGGGGAGCAAACAGGAUUAGAUACCCUGGUAGUCCACGCAGUAAACGAUGAUAACUCGUUGUCGGCGAUACACAGUCGGUGACUAAGCGAAAGCGAUAAGUUAUCCACCUGGGGAGUACGUUCGCAAGAAUGAAACUCAAAGGAAUUGACGGGGGCCCGCACAAGCGGAGGAACAUGUGGUUUAAUUCGAUGAUACGCGAGGAACCUUACCCGGGCUUGAAAGUUAGCGACGAUUCUUGAAAGAGGAUUUCCCUUCGGGGCGCGAAACUAGGUGCUGCAUGGUUGUCGUCAGCUCGUGCCGUGAGGUGUCGGGUUAAGUCCCAUAACGAGCGCAACCCCUACCGUUAGUUGCCAUCAGGUGAAGCUGGGCACUCUGGCGGGACUGCCGGUGUAAGCCGAGAGGAAGGUGGGGAUGACGUCAAAUCAGCACGGCCCUUACGUCCGGGGCUACACACGUGUUACAAUGGUAGGUACAGAGGGCAGCUACCCAGCGAUGGGAUGCGAAUCUCGAAAGCCUAUCUCAGUUCGGAUUGGAGGCUGAAACCCGCCUCCAUGAAGUUGGAUUCGCUAGUAAUCGCGCAUCAGCCAUGGCGCGGUGAA